UGGGGAAUAUUGCACAAUGGAGGGAACUCUGAUGCAGCGACGCCGCGCGAACGAAGAAGGCUUUCGAGUCGUAAAGUUCUUUUAUAUGGGAAGAUAAUGACGGUACCAUAAGAAAAAGCCCCGGCUAACUACGUGCCAGCAGCCGCGGUAAUACGUAGGGGGCUAGCGUUGUCCGGAAUCACUGGGCGUAAAGGGUUCGCAGGCGGAAAUGCAAGUCAGGUGUAAAAGGCAGUAGCUUAACUACUGUAAGCAUUUGAAACUGCAUUUCUUGAGAGGAGUAGAGGUAAGUGGAAUUUUUAGUGGAGCGGUGAAAUGCAUAGAUAAAAAAAAAAAUACCGGUGGCGAAGGCGACUUACUGGGCACAUUCUGACGCUGAGAAACGAAAGCGUGGAUAGCAAAGAGG
RNAcentral lists this ribosomal RNA (403 nucleotides) under Fusobacteriota bacterium. RNAcentral describes it as "Fusobacteria bacterium partial 16S ribosomal RNA". It matches the Rfam family "Bacterial small subunit ribosomal RNA", at positions 355 to 776 of the family's 1533-position model. Lineage: Bacteria; Fusobacteriati; Fusobacteriota. The record is from RNAcentral.